RNAcentral lists this ribosomal RNA (143 nucleotides) under Legionella jordanis. RNAcentral describes it as "partial 23S ribosomal RNA". The stretch from base 1 to 122 matches the Rfam family "Bacterial large subunit ribosomal RNA", at positions 2792 to 2925 of the family's 2925-position model. The record is from RNAcentral. Lineage: Bacteria; Pseudomonadati; Pseudomonadota; Gammaproteobacteria; Legionellales; Legionellaceae.
GCCUCCCUCAAGAUGAGUUUUCCCAUGAAGCCCGUUGAAGACUACGACGUUGAUAGGCGAGGUGUGGAAGCGCAGUAAUGUGUGAAGCUAACUCGUACUAAUUGGCUGAUUGUCUUGACCAUAUAACCUGAAUGGCUUUUAUG